UACGGAGGGUGCAAACGUUGUCCGGAAUCACUGGGCGUAAAGCGCAUGUAGGCGGUUUGGUAAGUGGAUGAUUAAAGACCGACGCUCAACGUCGGAUCGGUUGUCCAUACUGCCUGACUUGAGGAGAACAGGGGUAAGCGGAACUUUAGGUGUAGGAGUGAAAUCCGUAGAUAUCUAAAGGAACACCAAUGGCGAAGGCAGCUUACUGGGUUCUUUCUGACACUGAGAUGCGAAAGCGUGGGGAGCGAACGGG
Molecule: ribosomal RNA, 253 nt
Filed under: uncultured bacterium
Lineage: Bacteria
Description: partial 16S ribosomal RNA
Rfam family: Bacterial small subunit ribosomal RNA
Source: RNAcentral